AGAGUUUGAUUCUGGCUCAGGAUGAACGCUGGCGGCGUGCCUAAUACAUGCAAGUCGAACGCACAGCGAAAGGUGCUUGCACCUUUCAAGUGAGUGGCGAACGGGUGAGUAACACGUGGACAACCUGCCUCAAGGCUGGGGAUAACAUUUGGAAACAGAUGCUAAUACCGAAUAAAACUUAGUGUCGCAUGACAAAAAGUUAAAAGGCGCUUCGGCGUCACCUAGAGAUGGAUCCGCGGUGCAUUAGUUAGUUGGUGGGGUAAAGGCCUACCAAGACAAUGAUGCAUAGCCGAGUUGAGAGACUGAUCGGCCACAUUGGGACUGAGACACGGCCCAAACUCCUACGGGAGGCUGCAGUAGGGAAUCUUCCACAAUGGGCGAAAGCCUGAUGGAGCAACGCCGCGUGUGUGAUGAAGGCCUUCGGGUCGUAAAGCACUGUUGUAUGGGAAGAACAGCUAGAAUAGGAAAUGAUUUUAGUUUGACGGUACCAUACCAGAAAGGGACGGCUAAAUACGUGCCAGCAGCCGCGGUAAUACGUAUGUCCCGAGCGUUAUCCGGAUUUAUUGGGCGUAAAGCGAGCGCAGACGGUUUAUUAAGUCUGAUGUGAAAGCCCGGAGCUCAACUCCGGAAUGGCAUUGGAAACUGGUUAACUUGAGUGCAGUAGAGGUAAGUGGAACUCCAUGUGUAGCGGUGGAAUGCGUAGAUAUAUGGAAGAACACCAGUGGCGAAGGCGGCUUACUGGACUGCAACUGACGUUGAGGCUCGAAAGUGUGGGUAGCAAACAGGAUUAGAUACCCUGGUAGUCCACACCGUAAACGAUGAACACUAGGUGUUAGGAGGUUUCCCCCCUCUUAGUGCCAAAGCUAAC
This 868-nucleotide ribosomal RNA is filed under the name uncultured bacterium. RNAcentral's name for it is "bacterial SSU rRNA". It matches the Rfam family "Bacterial small subunit ribosomal RNA", at positions 8 to 856 of the family's 1533-position model. The record is from RNAcentral.